UCAGGAUCCUGAGUACGGCGGAGCACGUGAAAUUCCGUCGGAAUCCGGGAGGACCAUCUCCCAAGGCUAAAUACUACCUAGUGACCGAUAGUGAACCAGUACCGUGAGGGAAAGGUGAAAAGCACCCCGGAAGGGGAGUGAAAUAGUUCUUGAAACCAUGUGCCUACAAGAAGUCAGAGCCCGUUAAUGGGUGAUGGCGUGCCUUUUGUAGAAUGAACCGGCGAGUUACGUUCGUAUGCCAGGUUAAGUUGAAGAGACGGAGCCGAAGCGAAAGCGAGUCUGAAGAGGGCGAAUUAGUAUGCGGAUGUAGACCCGAAACCAAGUGACCUACCCAUGUCCAGGUUGAAGGUGCGGUAAAACGCACUGGAGGACCGAACUCGUGUACGUUGAAAAGUGCUGAGAUGAGGUGUGGGUAGCGGUGAAAUUCCAAACGAACUUGGAGAUAGCUGGUUCUCUCCGAAAUAGCUUUAGGGCUAGCCUCGGAAUUAGGAUCGUGGAGGUAGAGCCACUGUUUGGACUAGGGGCCCGUCAUGGGUUACCGAAUUCAGAUAAACUCCGAAUGCCAUCGAUUUAUGUCCGGGAGUCAGACGGUGAGUGAUAAGAUCCAUCGUCGAAAGGGGAACAGCCCAGACCACCAGUUAAGGUCCCUAAAUAUAUGUUAAGUGGAAAAGGAUGUGGAGUUGCAUAGACAACUAGGAUGUUGGCUCAGAAGCAGCCACCAUUUAAAGAGUGCGUAAUAGCUCACUAGUCGAGUGAUCCUGCGCCGAAAAUGUACCGGGGCUUAAACAUAUUACCGAGACUGUGGAUGCCACCAUUAGGUGGCGUGAUAGGAGAGCGUUCUAAGGGCGACGAAGGCAGACCGUGAGGACUGUUGGAGCGCUUAGAAGUGAGAAUGCCGGUAUGAGUAGCGAAAGAUAGGUGAGAAUCCUAUCCACCGUAUGACUAAGGUUUCCUGGGGAAGGCUCGUCCUCCCAGGGUUAGUCGGGACCUAAGCCGAGGCCGAGAGGCGUAGGCGAUGGAUAACAGGUUGAGAUUCCUGUACUAGUUAAACUUGUUUGAACAAUGGAGGGACGCAGGAGGCUAAGGAAUGCACCCGAUUGGAAGUGGGUGUCCAAGCCGUAAGUCUGAAGUCGAGUCAAAUGCUUGAUUUCUUAAGGACAAGCGGUGAUGGGGAGUGAAAUUUAAGUAACGAAGUUCCUGACGUCACGCUGCCGAGAAAAGCUUCUAGUUAGAGUUUAACUACCCGUACCGCAAACCGACACAGGUAGUCGAGGAGAGUAUCCUAAGGUGAGCGAGAGAACUCUCGUUAAGGAACUCGGCAAAAUGACCCCGUAACUUCGGGAGAAGGGGUGCUGAUCGCAAGAUCAGCCGCAGUGAAAAGGCCCAGGCGACUGUUUAUCAAAAACACAGGUUUCUGCAAAAUCGUAAGAUGACGUAUAGGGGCUGACGCCUGCCCGGUGCUGGAAGGUUAAGGGGAUGAGUUAGCGUAAGCGAAGCUUUGAACUGAAGCCCCAGUAAACGGCGGCCGUAACUAUAACGGUCCUAAGGUAGCGAAAUUCCUUGUCGGGUAAGUUCCGACCCGCACGAAAGGCGUAACGAUCUGGGCACUGUCUCAACGAGAGACUCGGUGAAAUUAUAAUACCCGUGAAGAUGCGGGUUACCCGCGACAGGACGGAAAGACCCCAUGGAGCUUUACUGUAACUUGAUAUUGAGUGUUUGUACAGCUUGUACAGGAUAGGUAGGAGCCGUAGAAUCCGGAACGCUAGUUUCGGAGGAGGCGCAAGUGGGAUACUACCCUCGUUGUAUGAACCCUCUAACCCGCGCCACUAAUCGUGGCGGGAGACAGUGUCUGGUGGGCAGUUUGACUGGGGCGGUCGCCUCCUAAAAGGUAACGGAGGCGCCCAAAGGUUCCCUCAGAAUGGUUGGAAAUCAUUCGCAGAGUGUAAAGGCAGAAGGGAGCUUGACUGCGAGACAGACAGGUCGAGCAGGGACGAAAGUCGGGCUUAGUGAUCCGGUGGUUCCGUAUGGAAGGGCCAUCGCUCAACGGAUAAAAGCUACCCUGGGGAUAACAGGCUUAUCUCCCCCAAGAGUUCACAUCGACGGGGAGGUUUGGCACCUCGAUGUCGGCUCAUCGCAUCCUGGGGCUGUAGUCGGUCCCAAGGGUUGGGCUGUUCGCCCAUUAAAGCGGUACGCGAGCUGGGUUCAGAACGUCGUGAGACAGUUCGGUCCCUAUCCGUCGCGGGCGUAGGAAAUUUGAGAGGAGCUGUCCUUAGUACGAGAGGACCGGGAUGGACACACCGCUGGUGUACCAGUUGUUCCGCCAGGAGCAUCGCUGGGUAGCUAUGUGUGGAUGAGAUAAACGCUGAAAGCAUCUAAGUGUGAAACUCGCCUCAAGAUGAGAUUUCCCAUUGCCUUCGGGCAAGUAAGACCCCUGAGAGAUGAUCAGGUAGAUAGGCUAGAAGUGGAAGUGUAGCGAUACAUGGAGCGGACUAGUACUAAUCGGUCGAGGACUUAACC
This 2517-nucleotide ribosomal RNA is filed under the name Pediococcus acidilactici. Its description in RNAcentral is "23S ribosomal RNA". It matches the Rfam family "Bacterial large subunit ribosomal RNA", at positions 400 to 2925 of the family's 2925-position model. Lineage: Bacteria; Bacillati; Bacillota; Bacilli; Lactobacillales; Lactobacillaceae. The record is from RNAcentral.